AGUGAACGCUGGCGGUAGGCCUAACACAUGCAAGUCGAACGGCAGCACAGUAAGAGCUUGCUCUUACGGGUGGCGAGUGGCGGACGGGUGAGGAAUACAUCGGAAUCUACUUUUUCGUGGGGGAUAACGUAGGGAAACUUACGCUAAUACCGCAUACGACCUACGGGUGAAAGCAGGGGAUCUUCGGACCUUGCGCGAUUGAAUGAGCCGAUGUCGGAUUAGCUAGUUGGCGGGGUAAAGGCCCACCAAGGCGACGAUCCGUAGCUGGUCUGAGAGGAUGAUCAGCCACACUGGAACUGAGACACGGUCCAGACUCCUACGGGAGGCAGCAGUGGGGAAUAUUGGACAAUGGGCGCAAGCCUGAUCCAGCCAUACCGCGUGGAGGAAGAAGGCCUUCGGGUUGUAAAGCCCUUUUGUUGGGAAAGAAAAGCAGCAGGUUAAUACCCCGCUGUUCUGACGGUACCCAAAGAAUAAGCACCGGCUAACUUCGUG
This 492-nucleotide ribosomal RNA is filed under the name uncultured bacterium. Its description in RNAcentral is "partial 16S ribosomal RNA". It matches the Rfam family "Bacterial small subunit ribosomal RNA", at positions 29 to 507 of the family's 1533-position model. The record is from RNAcentral.